UACCAUUAUGUUGUGAAGGAAUUAUAUUACAAUUACCACAAAAUUACACUUUCUGCAACUUCAUAUACAAGACAAAAUAAUUAUAAAGCUGAGUAAUAAGUGCAGCCAGUUACGCACAGGAGGGGGCAUCAAAAUUAGGGAACACUAUGAAUGUAAUGGACAGUGGACUGAUGUAUAUAGGAGAAUUCACAUUAUUAUGGACAGGGUCUAAUCUCGGGAUGUCUCCAUUUUCGGUAAGUUCUAAUGGGAUUCCAUUUAGAACCAUGGUUUGGCUUUGAAGGUACCCAUCUUUUGGAGUUAGAUGGUACUCCUCUCUGGUAGCUCCAUCGGAUGCUUCAUUUCCAACCCACGAAAGUGAUCUCUUAAGGACAUGCAUGAAAGAGCUUUCUCUCUGAAUUUUCUUUUCGACGUGCAACCUCAAUGUCAGAUUAUUUCUAACACUGAUUAUAAAAUCAGUCUGAUUGC
RNAcentral lists this unclassified non-coding RNA (465 nucleotides) under Hevea brasiliensis (rubber tree). Lineage: Eukaryota; Viridiplantae; Streptophyta; Magnoliopsida; Malpighiales; Euphorbiaceae. The record is from RNAcentral.